This 445-nucleotide ribosomal RNA is filed under the name uncultured bacterium. Its description in RNAcentral is "partial 16S ribosomal RNA". It matches the Rfam family "Bacterial small subunit ribosomal RNA", at positions 354 to 796 of the family's 1533-position model. The record is from RNAcentral.
GUGAGGAAUAUUGGUCAAUGGGCGCAAGCCUGAACCAGCCAUCCCGCGUGAAGGAAGAAGGCCCUACGGGUUGUAAACUUCUUUUCUGUUUGAAGAAUAAGCUUGUCGAGACAAGUGAUGCCGGUAGGACAGGAAUAAGCAUCGGCUAACUCCGUGCCAGCAGCCGCGGUAAUACGGAGGAUGCAAGCGUUAUCCGGAUUUAUUGGGUUUAAAGGGUGCGCAGGUGGUUGAAUAAGUCAGUGGUGAAAGUCUGGCGCUUAACGUUAGGAUUGCCAUUGAUACUGUUUGACUUGAAUAUGGAUGAGGUAGGCGGAAGGUGUAGUGUAGCGGUGAAAUGCUUAGAUAUUACACAGAACACCGAUUGCGAAGGCAGCUUACUAAUCCAUUAUUGACGCUGGGGCACGCAAGCGUGGGGAUCAAACAGGAUUAGAUACCCCGGUAGUCC